Molecule: unclassified non-coding RNA, 351 nt
Filed under: soil metagenome
Description: partial contains 5.8S ribosomal RNA, internal transcribed spacer 2, and large subunit ribosomal RNA
Rfam family: 5.8S ribosomal RNA (bases 1-120)
Source: RNAcentral
GAUGAAGAACGCAGUGAAAUGCGAUAAGUAAUGCGAAUUGCAGAAUCCGUGAGUCAUCGAAUCUUUGAACGCACAUUGCGCCCCUUGGUUAUUCCGAAGGGCAUGCCUGUUCGAGCGUCAUUAUCACCCCUCAAGCCCUGGCUUGGUGUUGGACUUUAGUUAUAGCUUUGCCUAUCAACUGGUCUCAAAGAUAGUGACGGCGCCCCAGAGGGAACCGGGUACGAGGAGCUUUUUACUAAGCAUGUAUCUGGGACGACUCUGGGCGACGGUCUUGUUAUACUUUUUACCUAAGUGUUGACCUCGGAUCAGGUAGGAAUACCCGCUGAACUUAAGCAUAUCAAUAGCGGAGGA